AUACGGAGGAUGCAAGCGUUAUCCGGAUUUAUUGGGUUUAAAGGGUGCGUAGGCGGUUUGCUAAGCGGGAGGUGAAAUGCCGGCGCUCAACGUCGGAAGUGCCUCCCGAACUGGUGGACUUGAAUGACUCUGCCGUGGGAGGAAUGUGUAGGGUAGCGGUGAAAUGCUUAGAGAUUACACAGAACACCGAUUGCGAAGGCAUCUCACGAAGGGUUGAUUGACGCUGUGGCACGAAAGCGUGGGGAUCAAACAGGAUUAGAUACCCUGGUAGUCCACGCAGUAAACGAUGAUGGCUAACCGCUGGGCUUAUCAGUUCAGUGGCCAAGCGAAAGCGAUAAGCCAUCCACCUGGGGAGUACGACCGCAAGGUUGAAACUCAAAGGAAUUGACGGGG
This 393-nucleotide ribosomal RNA is filed under the name uncultured bacterium. Its description in RNAcentral is "partial 16S ribosomal RNA". It matches the Rfam family "Bacterial small subunit ribosomal RNA", at positions 523 to 918 of the family's 1533-position model. The record is from RNAcentral.